RNAcentral lists this ribosomal RNA (428 nucleotides) under uncultured prokaryote. RNAcentral's name for it is "bacterial SSU rRNA". It matches the Rfam family "Bacterial small subunit ribosomal RNA", at positions 355 to 774 of the family's 1533-position model. The record is from RNAcentral.
UGGGGAAUAUUGCGCAAUGGGGGAAACCCUGACGCAGCGACGCCGCGUGAGCGAUGAAGGCCUUAGGGUUGUAAAGCUCUGUUUUAGGGGACGAAUGUCCAUGUGAGUAAUAUGCGCGUGGAAUGACGGUACCCUAAGAGGAAGCCCCGGCUAACUACGUGCCAGCAGCCGCGGUAAGACGUAGGGGGCGAGCGUUGUCCGGAAUUACUGGGCGUAAAGAGCACGUAGGCGGAGACUUAAGUCAGAUGUGAAAGACCGGGGCUCAACUCCGGGGUUGCAUUUGAAACUGGGUCCCUUGAGGGCAGGAGAGGAAAGCAGAAUUCCUGGUGUAGCGGUGAAAUGCGUAGAAAUCAGGAGGAAUACCAGUGGCGAAGGCGGCUUUCUGGACUGACCCUGACGCUGAGGUGCGAAAGCGUGGGUAGCAAACA